CCUCCACCCAUUGUGAUAUAUACCUCUGUUGCCUCGGGGGCGACCCGGCNCUGCGCUGGAGCCUCCGAUGGACCACAUUUAAACACUUGCAUCUAUGCGUCGGAUUAUAAAGUUUAAAUUAUUAAAACUUUCAACAACGGAUCUCUUGGUUCUGGCAUCGAUGAAGAACGCAGCGAAAUGCGAUAAGUAAUGUGAAUUGCAGAAUUCAGUGAAUCAUCGAGUUUUUGAACGCACACUGCGCCCCUUGGUAUUCCGGGGGGCAUGCCCGUUCGAGCGUCAUUACACCAAUCAAGCCUGGCUUGGUAUUGGGCCACGGGGGCGACCCGGGCCUCAAAGUCUUUCGGCUGGACGUCUCCAAUCUCAGCGUCAUGGUAAUUCAACUCGCUGUCGAGUGGGGAGGUCUGCGCCGGUAAACUCUUUCACAGGUUGACCUCGGAUCGGGUAGG
Molecule: ribosomal RNA, 446 nt
Filed under: uncultured Capnodiales
Lineage: Eukaryota; Fungi; Ascomycota; Dothideomycetes; Capnodiales
Description: eukaryotic LSU rRNA
Rfam family: 5.8S ribosomal RNA (bases 126-279)
Source: RNAcentral